Molecule: ribosomal RNA, 554 nt
Filed under: Globigerinella siphonifera
Lineage: Eukaryota; Foraminifera; Rotaliida; Globigerinidae
Description: partial 18S ribosomal RNA
Rfam family: Eukaryotic small subunit ribosomal RNA
Source: RNAcentral
GGGAUUGCCAAUAAUUGAAUGUUCGCUUUCUAUUGGUGUGUGAUCUCAAAAUUGCAUGUAUUUGUGAUGGCGAGUGAUCUAAUCCCUUAGGAAAACUUGGGCGACCGCUGUAAUACUUCUCUUUAAAACAGAGGCAGGUUGCGGCAAUAACAGGUCUGUGAUGCCCUCAGAUGUCCCGGGCCGCACACGUGCUACAUUGAUUAGCGCAGUGCGCAUACUUUCAAUAUGAUACAUUGGAUUGGUGGUGAAUUGUUGGCCCCGUCUAAUACUGUCCUGUCUGAGAAGGCUGGGUAAUCAAUUGUAAGUGCUGGUUCCUACUCCCGUUGAGCAUUUUAAUAAUGGCCUCUCUACAUCCCUAGUAACCCUAGUGCGAUUGUAGUUGAGCCUUGCCAUUUAUGCAAGUGUCAAUUCUCAGUGGGGACAGACAUUUGAUAAUUCUUUGUCUCGUUCUUAACUAGGAAUGCCUUGUACGGGUCUUGGUUCAACAGACCACCCGGAAUACGUCCCUGCCCUUUGUACACACCGCCCGUCGCUCUUACCGAUGACUUUCCCUG